GACGAACGCUGGCGGCGUGCUUAACACAUGCAAGUCGAACGGUAAGGCCGUGGCUUUGUGUGCUGCUUGAGUGGCGAACGGGUGAGUAACACGUGAGUAACCUGCCUUUGAGUGUGGGAUAACUUUUGGAAACGGGGGCUAAUACCGGAUAAGAGUAGAUGCUGCAUGGUGGGGGUUGGAAAGUUUCGGUGGCUGGGCUAGGAGUCGGGGCUUAUCAGUUUGUUGGUGGGGGUGGGGCAUCCCAUGGCGAUGACGGGUAGCCGGCCUGGGAGGGUGACCGGCCACAUUGGGCCUGAGAAGGGGGCCAGAGGCCAACGGGGGGCAGCGGUGGGAAACAUUGCACAAUGGGCGGAGGCCGGAAGCAGCAACGCCGGGUGCGGGAGGACGGCCGUCGGGUUGUAAACCGCUUUCGCCUGUGACGAAGCGUGAGUGACGGUAAUGUAUAAAGAAGCACCGGCUAACUACGUG
RNAcentral lists this ribosomal RNA (468 nucleotides) under uncultured bacterium. RNAcentral describes it as "partial 16S ribosomal RNA". It matches the Rfam family "Bacterial small subunit ribosomal RNA", at positions 28 to 507 of the family's 1533-position model. The record is from RNAcentral.